AUAAAAGGCCGAAUUACAGUGCUACCCUAAGUUAACUCUGUGGGUAGCAUGAUGAAAAAAAUUCCUGAAGCGAAACUUUAACUGACCUCUGCAGAGUAACAAAAUGACUGCCAAUGGGUUCCAAAAAUUGGCUUUUUUUUUUUAUUCGUCGCUAAUCUAGGUCAGUUUUUAUAAGUUUUACAGAUUUAGGUUCCUGGAUGCUCCUCUGUUUGGGAUAAUGGGCAAUGUCUAACUUAUCACAUAUUCUGCUUGUCUACAGGCUCCAUAAGAUGCUGUCUCUCUAUUUCUGAUGUAACCAGAAGGGAGCCGUGUGCUUUGGAUGACAAGGCUCCAUAAGAUGCUGUCACACUAUUUCUGAUGUAACCAGAAGGGAGCCGUGUGCUCUGGCUGACAAGGCUCCAUAGGAUGCUGUCUCACCAUUUCUGAUGUAACCAGAAGGGAGCGUGUGCUCUGGAUGACAAGGCUCCAUAGGAUGCUGUCACACCAUUUCUGAUGUAACCAGAAGUGAGCCGUGUGCUGUGGAUGACAAGGCUCCAUAAGAUGCUGUUGCACCAUUUCUGAUGUAACCAGAAGGGAGCCGUGUACUCUGGAUGACAAGGCUCCAUAGGAUGCUGUCUCACAUUUCUGAUGUAACCAGAAUGGAGCCGUGUGCUCUGGAUGACAAGGCUCCAUAGGAUGCUGUCACACCAUUUCUGAUGUAACCAGAAGGGAGCCGUGUGCUCUGGAUGACAAGGCUCCAUAGGAUGAUGUCACACCAUUUCUGAUGUAACGAGAAGUGAGCUGUGUUCUCUGGAUGACAAGGCUCCAUAGGAUGCUGUCACACCAUUUCUGAUGUGGCCAGAAGUGAGCCGUGUGGUCUGGAUGACAAGGCUCCAUAGGAUGCUGUCACACCAUUUCAGAAGUGAGCCGUGUGCUCUGGAUGACAAGGUAGAGGAGUAGCAGACCUGGGACUGAUGUUGGACCUUCUAAGCUAUCGAGGAUGAUCAUAUUCUGUCCCCCCUCCUUACUCUAAAGUUAUGAGAAUGUCUUCAAUGUUUUAUGUAUAACCUGAUUAUAUGGACUCCUUCUUUGGACAAUAAAGAUUUUGCUUCCCACAGAA
This is a long non-coding RNA of Rana temporaria (common frog), 1099 nucleotides long. RefSeq lists it as uncharacterized. The record is from RefSeq and is a predicted model, not a curated record. Lineage: Eukaryota; Metazoa; Chordata; Amphibia; Anura; Ranidae. The transcript has 11 exons.